GUCCACGCCGUAAACGAUGAAUGCUAGACGUCGGGGUGCAUGCACUUCGGUGUCGCCGCUAACGCAUUAAGCAUUCCGCCUGGGGAGUACGGCCGCAAGGUUAAACUCAAAGGAAUUGACGGGGCCCGCACAAGCGGUGGAGCAUGUGGUUUAAUUCGAAGCAACGCGCAGAACCUUACCAACCCUUGACAUGUCCACUACCGGCACCAGAGAUGGUGUCUUCGGUUCGGCCGGGUGGAACACAGGUGCUGCAUGGCUGUCGU
This 263-nucleotide ribosomal RNA is filed under the name uncultured bacterium. Its description in RNAcentral is "partial 16S ribosomal RNA". It matches the Rfam family "Bacterial small subunit ribosomal RNA", at positions 793 to 1055 of the family's 1533-position model. The record is from RNAcentral.